RNAcentral lists this ribosomal RNA (400 nucleotides) under uncultured bacterium. Its description in RNAcentral is "bacterial SSU rRNA". It matches the Rfam family "Bacterial small subunit ribosomal RNA", at positions 355 to 747 of the family's 1533-position model. The record is from RNAcentral.
UGGGGAAUUUUGGACAAUGGGGGAAACCCUGAUCCAGCCAUUCCGCGUGGGUGAAGAAGGCCUUCGGGUUGUAAAGCCCUUUUGUCUGGGAGCAAAUCCUUGUCGCUAAUACCGGCUGGGGAUGAGAGUACCAGAAGAAUAAGCACCGGCUAACUACGUGCCAGCAGCCGCGGUAAUACGUAGGGUGCAAGCGUUACUCGGAAUUACUGGGCGUAAAGCGUGCGCAGGCGGUUUUGUAAGCUUGAUGUGAAAUCCCCGGGCUUAACCUGGGAACUGCAUUGAGGACUGCAAGGCUAGAGUACGGCAGAGGGGGGUGGAAUUCCACGUGUAGCAGUGAAAUGCGUAGAGAUGUGGAGGAACACCGAUGGCGAAGGCAGCCCCCUGGGCCUGUACUGACGCU